UUUCCGUAGGUGAACCUGCGGAAGGAUCAUUACUGAGUUAGUGCCCUCUGGGUCCAACCUCCCACCCGUGUUUAUUGUCCCUUGUUCCUUCGGUGAGCCACCCUCGCGGCCAGCGGGGGGCAACUUUCCACGUGCCCGCGCUCGCCUAAGACAGCCUUGCACUCUGGCUGAAGUUUUCAGUCUGACCGAAAACUAAAUAAGUUAAAACUUUCAACAACGGAUCUCUUGGUUCCG
RNAcentral lists this unclassified non-coding RNA (234 nucleotides) under plant metagenome. RNAcentral describes it as "partial contains small subunit ribosomal RNA, internal transcribed spacer 1, and 5.8S ribosomal RNA". The record is from RNAcentral.